UCUGUCCCCUACUGCGAUCAAGGCGCUGGGCCGUUGGUCGUCUGGCGCAUACGCUUCCUGCAUUUGCCUCACUCCUCAUCACGUCGUUGAAGCAUGCUAUAUCUGGUCACGAUUCCGGCUCUCUACCUACUGUCAUAAUCUAAGUUUUCAGCGCUCUCCUGACCAAGGUGCAUCUAUCAAUCAAAUCAUAACGCUCUGCUGUGUCUCUGCUCUCAGCGCAUCCGCGCCAUGUCUUCUCGCAUAGCCUAAGAUGGUGUCUCCUUGUAAGCGGUAGGUGAGUUCACUUCUAAUCUCUAUUUUGGGGCAGGCUACGCCCGCCUCCAUCUCCGCUGGAGGAUAUGCUGUCCUACCCCGGAGUUCAACGCGAAGACGGGAACCUUCGCCAAACAGAUUCAUGCAUUUUGUAUCAAGUGUAAUUGUUCGCCAAACGGAUUCAUGCAAUUUUGUAUCAUGUCUAUUGUUCAAUAAAUGUUAAUAACGUUCAUUUGCCUCUCGAGUCUUCAUGGUAGAAAUGGGAGCUUGCGUAAAUUCUACCAGGGAGACUCGAAUUUUUCGGCUGUCAAACUUACUAGGCUAACCAUCCAAUCUCUCUUUUGACAGAUCAUACAUGCGUCAUCAUUGCCCAGGGUCGUCAACCAAUCACAACGCGAGAUUCGGGAAUCCCCGUUAUGCAUCACUCAUGCAUCGUUCCCUCUCAGCCAAUGGAUCGCAUUCACGUUUGUUUAAAAAAUCAGUCACUCAUUCUGUUCUCUGCUUUCCAGUUAAGCCGAAUUUGAAGCCACCACCACCCCUCCGUCCACCGUCACCAGUGGUUCCCGUCUGUUAGGGGGCAGGCUACGCCCGCCUCCAUCUACGCUGGAGGAUAUCCUGUCCUACCCCGGAGUUCAACGCGAAGACGGGAACCUUCGCCAAACAGAUUCAUGCAUUUUGUA
Long non-coding RNA from Engraulis encrasicolus (European anchovy), 932 nucleotides. RefSeq lists it as uncharacterized. Lineage: Eukaryota; Metazoa; Chordata; Actinopteri; Clupeiformes; Engraulidae. The transcript has 3 exons. The record is from RefSeq and is a predicted model, not a curated record.